RNAcentral lists this transfer RNA (73 nucleotides) under Treponema sp. RNAcentral's name for it is "tRNA-Met". It matches the Rfam family "tRNA". From Rfam's summary of the family: Transfer RNA (tRNA) molecules are approximately 80 nucleotides in length. Lineage: Bacteria; Pseudomonadati; Spirochaetota; Spirochaetia; Treponematales; Treponemataceae. The record is from RNAcentral.
GGCGACAUAGCUCAGUUGGUAGAGCACACGGCUCAUAUCCGUGCUGUCAGAAGUUCAAUCCUUCUUGUCGCUA